RNAcentral lists this transfer RNA (78 nucleotides) under Micrococcus luteus. RNAcentral's name for it is "tRNA-Lys". It matches the Rfam family "tRNA". From Rfam's summary of the family: Transfer RNA (tRNA) molecules are approximately 80 nucleotides in length. Their secondary structure includes four short double-helical elements and three loops (D, anti-codon, and T loops). The record is from RNAcentral. Lineage: Bacteria; Bacillati; Actinomycetota; Actinomycetes; Micrococcales; Micrococcaceae.
GAGCCAUUAGCUCAGUUGGUAGAGCAUCUGACUUUUUAAUCAGAGGGUCGAAGGUUUCGAGUCCUUCAUGGCUCAYCA